GCACGUUCUCAGGGCGGGGUGAAACUCCCCACCGGCGGUAACGGGAAGCAAUUCCUGGAGCCCGCGAGCGCUUCCCAGCCGGAUCCAUGUAUCUGGAUGGGAAGGUCAGCAGAUCCGGUUGAAUUCCGGAGCCGACGGUUAAAGUCCGGAUGAAAGAGAGCAAGC
RNAcentral lists this non-coding RNA (165 nucleotides) under Rhizobium sp. RNAcentral's name for it is "FMN sequence". It matches the Rfam family "FMN riboswitch aptamer (RFN element)". From Rfam's summary of the family: The RFN element is a highly conserved domain that is found frequently in the 5'-untranslated regions of prokaryotic mRNAs that encode for flavin mononucleotide (FMN) biosynthesis and transport proteins. This element is a metabolite-dependent riboswitch that directly binds FMN in the absence of proteins. In Bacillus subtilis, the riboswitch most likely controls gene expression by causing premature transcription termination within the 5' untranslated region of the ribDEAHT operon and precluding access to the ribosome-binding site of ypaA mRNA. Lineage: Bacteria; Pseudomonadati; Pseudomonadota; Alphaproteobacteria; Hyphomicrobiales; Rhizobiaceae. The record is from RNAcentral.